UUAUCAAAAAAGAUAAAUAUACACUUAUAUCCCAAUGGUAAAUUAAUGAGUUUAGAGUUAAGGGGUGGGGUUUAGAAUUUAGGGUUUAGGGUUUAGGGUUUAGAGUUUAGGAUUUAGGGUUUAGAGUUCAGGGAUGGGGUUUAUGGUUUAGAGUUUAGAGUUAAGGGUGGAGUUUAGGAUUUAAGAUUUAGGGUUUAGGGUUUAGAGUUUAGGUUUUAGGGUUUAGAUUUGGGGAGUGGGGUUUUGGAAUAAUAUUUCAAAUUUAAAAAUAAAA
This 274-nucleotide long non-coding RNA is filed under the name Brassica napus (rape). Its description in RNAcentral is "long non-coding RNA (BNAP_LNC022318)". The record is from RNAcentral. Lineage: Eukaryota; Viridiplantae; Streptophyta; Magnoliopsida; Brassicales; Brassicaceae.